RNAcentral lists this ribosomal RNA (208 nucleotides) under uncultured bacterium. RNAcentral describes it as "partial 16S ribosomal RNA". It matches the Rfam family "Bacterial small subunit ribosomal RNA", at positions 568 to 775 of the family's 1533-position model. The record is from RNAcentral.
CGCGUAGGUGGUUUGUUAAGUUGGAUGUGAAAGCCCCGGGCUCAACCUGGGAACUGCAUCCAAAACUGGCAAGCUAGAGUACGGUAGAGGGUGGUGGAAUUUCCUGUGUAGCGGUGAAAUGCGUAGAUAUCGGGAGGAACACCAGUGGCGAAGGCGGCUUCCUGGCCGGAUACUGACGCUCAAGUGCGAAAGCUGGGGGGGCGAAAGG